RNAcentral lists this ribosomal RNA (477 nucleotides) under uncultured bacterium. Its description in RNAcentral is "partial 16S ribosomal RNA". It matches the Rfam family "Bacterial small subunit ribosomal RNA", at positions 30 to 507 of the family's 1533-position model. The record is from RNAcentral.
AUGAACGCUGGCGGCGUGCCUAACACAUUCAAGUCGCACGGAGUCCAGCCUUUAAGACCUUCGGGUCAAAGAGGGGAAGACUGAGUGGCGGACGGGUGAGUAACACGUGGGCAACCUGGCUCAUAGAGGGGGAUAACAGAGAGAAAUUUCUGCUAAUACCGCAUAAGCACACACUGCCGCAUGGCAGAGGGUGAAAAGAGAAUCGCUAUGAGAUGGACCCGCGUCUGAUUAGCCAGUUGGCAGGGUAAGAGCCUACCAAAGCGACGAUCAGUAGCCGAUCUGAGAGGAUGAACGGCCACAUUGGGACUGAGACACGGCCCAAACUCCUACGGGAGGCAGCAGUGGGGGAUAUUGCACAAUGGGGGGAACCCUGAUGCAGCGACGCCGCGUGAGUGAAGAAGUAUUUCGGUAUGUAAAGCUCUAUCAGCAGGGAAGAUAAUGACAGUACCUGAAGAAGAAGCCCCGGCUAACUACGUG